AGUGGAGUUCAUGAGAUCGGUGAGAGCGCUCGACGCAAUGAGGCGGAGAGACACGACAGCCGUCGAACCUUCAUCUCCCAACUGAAUACACACAUUCACCACUUCUCAAGCUAAUAAUCACACCAGAAACAUGUGGUUCCGCCACUCCUCACUCCUCCCGAGAGGUCUGUGAGCUCCUGCAGUCCAUUAAGCCCUUGAAUCCGGAGGAUUUUUCCCCCGUCGGCCGAUUCGCACCGAGCAGGCAAUGACAACGGCCUCCGCAACCCCGCAGCAGAUGAGAGACCGGCUGCUGCAGGCCAUCGAUAGCCACAGCAAUAUCUGUAACAUGGUUGCAGUUCUUGAUGUUAUCACCAAUUUGGAGAAGUACCCCAUCACCAAAGAAGCUCUUGAGGAAACCCGCUUGGGAAAGCUAAUUAACGAUGUGAGAAAGAAAACAAAGGAUGAGGACCUUGCCAAACGUGCCAAGAAACUCCUUCGGAACUGGCAGAAGUUAAUCGAGCCUGGCCAAGGUGACACUCCGGUGAGAGGGCCGCCAAAUGUCCCGGGCUCUGCCAAUGGUGGUGCUCACCCCUGUCGGACAGACACUCCUCCGGCAGUCCCCCCUCCAAGCAAGGUUGCUCCCGAGCUUAAAACCAGGAAUGACAUCCACAACACGUACUCUCCGAAGGCGGAGAAAUCCAGCAGCCGAAAGCGGCGGGCAGAGCAAAGGGAUAGUCCGCAUCUGCCGGCUAAAAUGUCGAAAACUUCCCUUUAUGAGCCGGUGUAUUCCUCUUCUCCACCAUCAAAUGGAAUUAGGGGGACCCCCGAGCCACUCCUAGAGAAAGAUGAUGAGGUGCCGUCUGACAGAAUUCGCCUGGAGCACCUUGAUAAUGAUAGGCACAACAAAAUCCCCGUCAACGCUGUCAAGCCUCAUCCAAGCUCUCCAGGACUUACCAAACUACCUAGCACUUCCUCCUUACUCAAAGCGUCAGUGUUACAGCAGGCGAGAGUGGACAGUGGUGGGCAGCAUCAACCCAAAAGCCCUCGGUACUCCUCGAGUCCGCGCAGCGCAACACAUGAGACGAUGGCCAAGAGGUCAACGACAUAUGCACCAAAAGGGACUCUCUCGAGCCCAUCUUUGAAUUCUGCCCAAGUGCCCUCUCCUUUGCCCACACUGCAGCCUUUAACGUCGCCGGCACAAGUGUGCAUCAGUGACGGACCAUCAUCUGUGGGGCUGGAAGGCUCGUUGCACUUGCACAGAUCAUCAGAUAGAGUCUCUCAGCCCCCACAUAGCACUGCAACACUGGAGCCGCUCUCUGGUGCCCUGCUCGCCACACACGGCCUGGAGGGUCUGGAGACCAAGGCUGAGCGGGAGGGAGCAUCCUCCAACUCGGAUGGCAAAAAGAGGAAGAAAUACAGACCCAGAGACUAUACCGUAAAUCUUCAGGGGCAGUCCUCCGAGGACAGGACCAAACCACGGUUAAAAGAGCGUAGGUUAACAUUCGACCCAGUGACCGGACAGAUUAAGCCCCUCACUCCAAAAGAAUCCCACCAAGAGGAAGAGUGCCAAGGACAGCCAAUCCCUGAGCCAUCAGUGAGGACUGAUAUCCCGCAGCAAAAGCCACCUACGUCGGUUCCCAACCCUUUUCAACAGACGAACUGGAAAGAGUUGUCCAGAAAUGAAAUCAUUCAAUCGUACCUUAACCUUCAGAGCAAUGUUCUUACAUCCUCUGGAGCACAGACCCAUGGGGCACACUUUUUCAUGACUGAAUAUUUAAAACGAGAGGAACACGAUGUCAAAGAGCCCCGGAAAAUGCACGUUUUAGCCCCAGGCAGCUCCACAACAGAACUGCCCGGGGUGUCUCGGGACGUAACGAACGAGGACCUUCUCAGAAUACACAAUGAACACUGGCCGGGUGUGAAUGGCUGUUAUGACACCAAGGGAGCCUGGUUUGAUUGGACAGACUGCAUAUCGUUGGAUCCUCACGGUGAUGAGAGCAAGUUGAACAUCCUGCCAUAUGUUUGCCUAGACUGAGAGAACAGGGUUUGAAAAGUUUUCAAUGUUCCCACUGUGAGUCCGAGGAGGUGCAUCCCACUCUCCUUGUCGCUCUGUACAAGGUUCAUCGUACAAGUGUAACGAACGAACCAACAGCGGCUGUUCUGAGUACGGUUUUCCAUUAGAAGGAGCUGAAAAGAAGUCCUGUUUGUAAUGUGCUGCUACCAACAAGAAUUUGCAAACAAGGGUUGUAUAUAAUGGCUCGCAGGGAUUUAACUGGGCCAGUUCUUGCACAGUGUGUUAAUAGGAGGGUCCGAGCAAGCAUUGAGCAGUGCAGAAAUGUUUAAAAGCAAGUUGAGAACAUUUUUUGGCAGUUACGAAGAGCUUUAUGUGACAAAGAAUAAAUUAUAAAAAGUUUCUUAUCAUG
This is a non-coding RNA of Danio rerio (zebrafish), 2402 nucleotides long. Ensembl annotates it as cofactor required for Sp1 transcriptional activation, subunit 7. Its record names the gene crsp7. The record is from Ensembl. NCBI's taxonomy places the organism in Eukaryota, Metazoa, Chordata, Actinopteri, Cypriniformes, Danionidae.